UAUUUAUUAGUUUAAUUAAAACAUUAUAUUUUCAAUAUAAAAAUAUUUUUCAAAUUUUUUAUAAAUAA
RNAcentral lists this transfer RNA (68 nucleotides) under Schoutedenia ralumensis. Its description in RNAcentral is "tRNA-Glu". The record is from RNAcentral. Lineage: Eukaryota; Metazoa; Arthropoda; Insecta; Hemiptera; Aphididae.